GGCACCAUGGCAUAGCUGGCUAAAGCACCUGCCUUAUAUACAGGAAAUCCUGGGUGCAACUCACAGUGAUGCCU
This 74-nucleotide transfer RNA is filed under the name Pelodiscus sinensis (Chinese soft-shelled turtle). It matches the Rfam family "tRNA". Rfam says of the family: Transfer RNA (tRNA) molecules are approximately 80 nucleotides in length. Their secondary structure includes four short double-helical elements and three loops (D, anti-codon, and T loops). Lineage: Eukaryota; Metazoa; Chordata; Testudines; Trionychidae. The record is from Rfam by way of RNAcentral.